UGGGGAAUUUUGGACAAUGGGCGCAAGCCUGAUCCAGCAAUGCCGCGUGAGUGAAGAAGGCCUUCGGGUUGUAAAGCUCUUUUGUCAGGGAAGAAACGGCCUAGGCUAAUACCUUGGGCUAAUGACGGUACCUGAAGAAUAAGCACCGGCUAACUACGUGCCAGCAGCCGCGGUAAUACGUAGGGUGCAAGCGUUAAUCGGAAUUACUGGGCGUAAAGCGUGCGCAGGCGGUUUUGUAAGUCUGACGUGAAAGCCCCGGGCUCAACCUGGGAAUUGCGUUGGAGACUGCAAGGCUUGAAUCUGGCAGAGGGGGGUUAGAAUUCCACGUGUAGCAGUGAAAUGCGUAGAGAUGUGGAGGAACACCGAUGGCGAAGGCAGCCCCCUGGGUCAAGNUUGACGCUCAUGCACGAAAGCGUGGGGAGCAAACAGGAUUAGAUACCCUGGUAGUCCACGCCCUAAACGAUGUCUACUAGUUGUCGGGGUUUUGAAUUAACUUGGUAACGCAGCUAACGCGUGAAGUAGACCGCCUGGGGAGUACGGUCGCAAGAUUAAAACUCAAAUGAAUUGACGGGGUCAUAGCUGUUUCCU
This 588-nucleotide ribosomal RNA is filed under the name uncultured bacterium. RNAcentral describes it as "partial 16S ribosomal RNA". It matches the Rfam family "Bacterial small subunit ribosomal RNA", at positions 355 to 1375 of the family's 1533-position model. The record is from RNAcentral.